GGCCGUUCGUCUGGUGUCACUCUACACCUCGAGGACAUUGUGGCUCACCAGAGGCCAGUGUGGUUCAGAGAAGGUUUGGAAACGUCUGAAACCUCUAACCACAGGAGCGGCCGGCCACCCAAGCCGACACAAUGUGGGUGAGAGCCAAUAUCAGCAAUGAUGAUGAUGAUGAUGAUGAUGCCACCCACUGCUGUGCCACAGAGAGGAAGUUCACAGAAGUGAUGAUCUGAAGUGAAGAGGAGAAGAUGAAGACUGUCAUUGGCUGAGAGAGUGUGACCGCGUCCUGGAGGAAACUGAGAAAGACGUAGCGUGUGAUUGGUUACUAUUAGAAGACUAAUGGGUGUGACAUUGAUAAGGACCGUAACCUGAUCGCAUGUUUUUAGUGCUAACUCCUGCAAUCCCGUCCAGCCAUCAAUCAUUAUUGCACGCCGGGCAAACUCCCUCGGCUCGCUAAAUAUUUAAUCAGCUUUAAAAAAGAUUACGGGCCAACUUUAUUUCUCAAGUCUUCAGACUUUUAUUUACAUUGUUCUCUAUUACAAUACAUUGCUAUUUACCAGAUUAGGCAACCAUGUAAAUAUCACAAUAAUGUAAUCGUUCAGUACCAUAUAGUUUCUACUACCUUGGUAUUACAAAACUUUAACCUUAAUACUGCGACAGGGUAAUAUUACAUACGGAUUAUUUUCUGAUACCCUUUAUUAAUUUCGAUCUAAGACUUCCUCUAAAACACGUGACCCUACUUUAAUCCAUAACAUUUCACCCAUGCACACAAACACCGUCCACAGCUGACGUCGACCCUCCGUCCCGGUCCACUGACACAUUCCCAAAGUCACCCGACACCUGAGACCUUCCAGCAGAGCCAUAAUUAAAGUAUACAUUACUGCAUACAGGACGGUGUCCAGUGACCAGAACAGAGAUCUGAUAGCUGCGGCUCUGAUUCUACAGCACCGGACCCCCAUUAGCAGCAUGUGAAUCGUGUAGUGAGGUCCAGGGGUCGGCGAUGUUGAUCGCGUCUGGUCCGUGUGAGUCCAACUCUCGGCUGGAUACAGACAGUGACGGCCCAUACGCUUCAUCUGUGAUUACAGGACUUUUCCAUCUCACGGAUCUGCCAGCAACUCCCACAGUAUUGAUCCUCUAAUAAAAGUCAACAUGGAGAGCAGAAAGAUGCUGAAUAAAAUUA
Long non-coding RNA from Misgurnus anguillicaudatus (oriental weatherfish), 1177 nucleotides. RefSeq lists it as uncharacterized. NCBI's taxonomy places the organism in Eukaryota, Metazoa, Chordata, Actinopteri, Cypriniformes, Cobitidae. The record is from RefSeq and is a predicted model, not a curated record.